GGCUCGGUGGUGGAUGGUUCACACCCAAUUCGUUUGACCGAGGUGAGGAGAAUCAAAGUGGGAGCAGCCUGUUCAAUUCAGGCCCGAGCCG
Molecule: non-coding RNA, 91 nt
Organism: Mycena maculata
Lineage: Eukaryota; Fungi; Basidiomycota; Agaricomycetes; Agaricales; Mycenaceae
Source: the annotation of a GenBank genome assembly